Molecule: ribosomal RNA, 2930 nt
Filed under: Escherichia coli
Lineage: Bacteria; Pseudomonadati; Pseudomonadota; Gammaproteobacteria; Enterobacterales; Enterobacteriaceae
Description: 23S ribosomal RNA
Rfam family: Bacterial large subunit ribosomal RNA
Source: RNAcentral
GGGUUGUGAGGUUAAGCGACUAAGCGUACACGGUGGAUGCCCUGGCAGUCAGAGGCGAUGAAGGACGUGCUAAUCUGCGAUAAGCGUCGGUAAGGUGAUAUGAACCGUUAUAACCGGCGAUUUCCGAAUGGGGAAACCCAGUGUGUUUCGACACACUAUCAUUAACUGAAUCCAUAGGUUAAUGAGGCGAACCGGGGGAACUGAAACAUCUAAGUACCCCGAGGAAAAGAAAUCAACCGAGAUUCCCCCAGUAGCGGCGAGCGAACGGGGAGCAGCCCAGAGCCUGAAUCAGUGUGUGUGUUAGUGGAAGCGUCUGGAAAGGCGCGCGAUACAGGGUGACAGCCCCGUACACAAAAAUGCACAUGCUGUGAGCUCGAUGAGUAGGGCGGGACACGUGGUAUCCUGUCUGAAUAUGGGGGGACCAUCCUCCAAGGCUAAAUACUCCUGACUGACCGAUAGUGAACCAGUACCGUGAGGGAAAGGCGAAAAGAACCCCGGCGAGGGGAGUGAAAAAGAACCUGAAACCGUGUACGUACAAGCAGUGGGAGCACGCUUAGGCGUGUGACUGCGUACCUUUUGUAUAAUGGGUCAGCGACUUAUAUUCUGUAGCAAGGUUAACCGAAUAGGGGAGCCGAAGGGAAACCGAGUCUUAACUGGGCGUUAAGUUGCAGGGUAUAGACCCGAAACCCGGUGAUCUAGCCAUGGGCAGGUUGAAGGUUGGGUAACACUAACUGGAGGACCGAACCGACUAAUGUUGAAAAAUUAGCGGAUGACUUGUGGCUGGGGGUGAAAGGCCAAUCAAACCGGGAGAUAGCUGGUUCUCCCCGAAAGCUAUUUAGGUAGCGCCUCGUGAAUUCAUCUCCGGGGGUAGAGCACUGUUUCGGCAAGGGGGUCAUCCCGACUUACCAACCCGAUGCAAACUGCGAAUACCGGAGAAUGUUAUCACGGGAGACACACGGCGGGUGCUAACGUCCGUCGUGAAGAGGGAAACAACCCAGACCGCCAGCUAAGGUCCCAAAGUCAUGGUUAAGUGGGAAACGAUGUGGGAAGGCCCAGACAGCCAGGAUGUUGGCUUAGAAGCAGCCAUCAUUUAAAGAAAGCGUAAUAGCUCACUGGUCGAGUCGGCCUGCGCGGAAGAUGUAACGGGGCUAAACCAUGCACCGAAGCUGCGGCAGCGACGCUUAUGCGUUGUUGGGUAGGGGAGCGUUCUGUAAGCCUGCGAAGGUGUGCUGUGAGGCAUGCUGGAGGUAUCAGAAGUGCGAAUGCUGACAUAAGUAACGAUAAAGCGGGUGAAAAGCCCGCUCGCCGGAAGACCAAGGGUUCCUGUCCAACGUUAAUCGGGGCAGGGUGAGUCGACCCCUAAGGCGAGGCCGAAAGGCGUAGUCGAUGGGAAACAGGUUAAUAUUCCUGUACUUGGUGUUACUGCGAAGGGGGGACGGAGAAGGCUAUGUUGGCCGGGCGACGGUUGUCCCGGUUUAAGCGUGUAGGCUGGUUUUCCAGGCAAAUCCGGAAAACUAAGGCUGAGGCGUGAUGACGAGGCACUACGGUGCUGAAGCAACAAAUGCCCUGCUUCCAGGAAAAGCCUCUAAGCAUCAGGUAACAUCAAAUCGUACCCCAAACCGACACAGGUGGUCAGGUAGAGAAUACCAAGGCGCUUGAGAGAACUCGGGUGAAGGAACUAGGCAAAAUGGUGCCGUAACUUCGGGAGAAGGCACGCUGAUAUGUAGGUGAAGUCCCUCGCGGAUGGAGCUGAAAUCAGUCGAAGAUACCAGCUGGCUGCAACUGUUUAUUAAAAACACAGCACUGUGCAAACACGAAAGUGGACGUAUACGGUGUGACGCCUGCCCGGUGCCGGAAGGUUAAUUGAUGGGGUCAGCGCAAGCGAAGCUCUUGAUCGAAGCCCCGGUAAACGGCGGCCGUAACUAUAACGGUCCUAAGGUAGCGAAAUUCCUUGUCGGGUAAGUUCCGACCUGCACGAAUGGCGUAAUGAUGGCCAGGCUGUCUCCACCCGAGACUCAGUGAAAUUGAACUCGCUGUGAAGAUGCAGUGUACCCGCGGCAAGACGGAAAGACCCCGUGAACCUUUACUAUAGCUUGACACUGAACAUUGAGCCUUGAUGUGUAGGAUAGGUGGGAGGCUUGGAAGUGUGGACGCCAGUCUGCAUGGAGCCGACCUUGAAAUACCACCCUUUAAUGUUUGAUGUUCUAACGUUGACCCGUAAUCCGGGUUGCGGACAGUGUCUGGUGGGUAGUUUGACUGGGGCGGUCUCCUCCUAAAGAGUAACGGAGGAGCACGAAGGUUGGCUAAUCCUGGUCGGACAUCAGGAGGUUAGUGCAAUGGCAUAAGCCAGCUUGACUGCGAGCGUGACGGCGCGAGCAGGUGCGAAAGCAGGUCAUAGUGAUCCGGUGGUUCUGAAUGGAAGGGCCAUCGCUCAACGGAUAAAAGGUACUCCGGGGAUAACAGGCUGAUACCGCCCAAGAGUUCAUAUCGACGGCGGUGUUUGGCACCUCGAUGUCGGCUCAUCACAUCCUGGGGCUGAAGUAGGUCCCAAGGGUAUGGCUGUUCGCCAUUUAAAGUGGUACGCGAGCUGGGUUUAGAACGUCGUGAGACAGUUCGGUCCCUAUCUGCCGUGGGCGCUGGAGAACUGAGGGGGGCUGCUCCUAGUACGAGAGGACCGGAGUGGACGCAUCACUGGUGUUCGGGUUGUCAUGCCAAUGGCACUGCCCGGUAGCUAAAUGCGGAAGAGAUAAGUGCUGAAAGCAUCUAAGCACGAAACUUGCCCCGAGAUGAGUUCUCCCUGACUCCUUGAGAGUCCUGAAGGAACGUUGAAGACGACGACGUUGAUAGGCCGGGUGUGUAAGCGCAGCGAUGCGUUGAGCUAACCGGUACUAAUGAACCGUGAGGCUUAACCUUACAACGCCGAAGCUGUU